This 87-nucleotide transfer RNA is filed under the name bacterium. RNAcentral describes it as "tRNA-Ser". It matches the Rfam family "tRNA". From Rfam's summary of the family: Transfer RNA (tRNA) molecules are approximately 80 nucleotides in length. Their secondary structure includes four short double-helical elements and three loops (D, anti-codon, and T loops). Further hydrogen bonds mediate the characteristic L-shaped molecular structure. tRNAs have two regions of fundamental functional importance: the anti-codon, which is responsible for specific mRNA codon recognition, and the 3' end, to which the tRNAs corresponding amino acid is attached (by aminoacyl-tRNA synthetases). tRNAs cope with the degeneracy of the genetic code in two manners: having more than one tRNA (with a specific anti-codon) for a particular amino acid; and 'wobble' base-pairing, i.e. permitting non-standard base-pairing at the 3rd anti-codon position. The record is from RNAcentral.
GGAGGGGUGUCCGAGAGGUUGAAGGAACAGGUCUCGAAAACCUGCAUGCCUGCAAAGGCAUCGAGGGUUCGAAUCCCGCCCCCUCCG